Molecule: ribosomal RNA, 465 nt
Filed under: uncultured bacterium
Lineage: Bacteria
Description: partial 16S ribosomal RNA
Rfam family: Bacterial small subunit ribosomal RNA
Source: RNAcentral
GACGAACGCUGGCGGCGUGCUUAACACAUGCAAGUCGAACGGAAAGGCCCUGCUUGCAGGGUACUCGAGUGGCGAACGGGUGAGUAACACGUGGGUGAUCUGCCCUGCACUUCGGGAUAAGCCUGGGAAACUGGGUCUAAUACCGGAUAGGAGCCAUUUUUAGUGUGAUGGUUGGAAAGUUUUUUCGGUGUAGGAUGAGCUCGCGGCCUAUCAGCUUGUUGGUGGGGUAACGGCCUACCAAGGCGGCGACGGGUAGCCGGCCUGAGAGGGUGGACGGCCACAUUGGGACUGAGAUACGGCCCAGACUCCUACGGGAGGCAGCAGUGGGGAAUAUUGCACAAUGGGCGCAAGCCUGAUGCAGCGACGCCGCGUGGGGGAUGACGGCCUUCGGGUUGUAAACUCCUUUCGCUAGGGACGAAGCUUUUUGUGACGGUACCUAGAGAAGAAGCACCGGCUAACUACGUG